UUCAUUACAAUCUAGACAAAAAUUUAUAAACAUUCAACAUCCAACAUCCAUCAAAAGCACUAAAGAAGAGGGAGGAAAAUUAGUUGUCCUAUCCUCGCCAUGUCCCCGCUGUGUCCCCAAAAAACAAAUUAAUUAAACACCAGCUGGCAUGUCCCAUAUAUGUCUACCGUGUCCCUGUUUUGUUCGACACCACUACGGCACCUGUUUUGGAGUGUAGGUGCUUCAUUGUUGUAUAGCUUUUGUCAAAAAUGAGGGAAAGUAGAUGCCCUGAUUGUUUUUGAAAGUAGUGCGUGUUGUCCGUUUCUGUUGUUAUUGUUUUCUAAUGAUUUUUUUUUAACCCCAACAGAAUGACUUGAUCCAUGCAUGGGGCUUGGAUUUCCAGCUUGGUUAUUGUGCACAGGAAAUUUUCUAAUUCCACUUCUCUGUAUGACUAUCGAUUUGUGGACGGUAGUGAUAUGUUGACCACUUUUUUUACAGGGUGAUAGGACAAAAAAUGUUGGUGUGGUUGACUGAGUAUAUAGUUCAUUUGGGUCUUCCAACACUUGGUGUUUUAGAUGGCACCAAGGAACCAUCUGGCUUGCAAAGAGUUAAUAAUAGAACUGAAGUGAGGAGACAGUCCUUUAUGGAAAUGCAGAUUUUCAAGAAAAGAUGGAACAAUGCAGUGAAGGACGACAAAUGUUGGGUCAAUCCAUAUCAACAACCUAUUGAGCAGAAAAGCCGUUAGCUUAUAAUCUAUACUACAUCUUCUUCAAUUAAACAAGGAAGAGAUAGAGCUUGGACUUUCCAAUCCAAUGAGUAUGGUGUUACCUGGUGUAGUUGGAUUCAAGUUGUCUGGAAAAUUAAACAAUGGUGUCACAGCUACUGAUUUGAUUUUAACUGUGACCCAAAUGCUAAGGAAGCAUGGUGUUGUUGGCAAAUUUGUUGAGUUCUAUGGAGAAGGCGUGGGUAAAAUAUCAUAAGCUGACAGGGCCACUAUUGCCAAUAUGUCUCCUGAGUAUGGUGCAGCAAUGAGGUUCUUUCCUGUUGACAAGGUUACUUUGCAAUAUCUGAAAUUGACUGGAAGAAGUGAUGAAAC
Molecule: non-coding RNA, 1075 nt
Organism: Camellia sinensis
Lineage: Eukaryota; Viridiplantae; Streptophyta; Magnoliopsida; Ericales; Theaceae
Source: RefSeq, a predicted model, not a curated record